AGAGUUUGAUCCUGGCUCAGAACGAACGCUGGCGGCAGGCUUAACACAUGCAAGUUGAACGGGAUUUGUAUGGUGCUUGCACCAUGUAAUGAGAGUAGCGCACUGGUGAGUAACACGUGGGAACAUACCUUGAAGUGGGGGACAACAGUUGGAAACGACUGCUAAUACCGCAUAAUCCCUGAGGGGGAAAGAUUUAUCGCUUUAAGAUUGGCCCGCGGAAGAUUAGGUAGUUGGUGGGGUAAAGGCCUACCAAGCCGACGAUCUAUAGCUGGUCUGAGAGGACGAACAGCCACAUUGGAACUGAGACACGGUCCAGACUCCUACGGGAGGCAGCAGUGAGGAAUAUUGGGCAAUGGAGGAAACUCUGACCCAGCCAUGCCGCGUGAGUGAAGAAGGUUUUCGAAUUGUAAAGCUCUUUCGGAUGGGACGAUGAUGACGGUACCAUCUAAAGAAGCCCCGGCAAACUUCGUGCCAGCAGCCGCGGUAAUACGAAGGGGGCAAGCGUUGUUCGGAAUUACUGGGCGUAAAGGGUGUGUAGGCGGAUUUGUAAGAUAGUGGUGAAAUACCUGAGCUCAACUUAGGAAUUGCCAUUAUAACUAUAGAUCUGGAGUGACAGAGAGGAUAUUGGAAUACCCAGUGUAGAGGUGAAAUUCGUAGAUAUUGGGUAGAACACCAGUGGCGAAGGCGAGUAUCUGGCUGUCAACUGACGCUGAGGCACGAAAGCAUGGGGAUCAAACAGGAUUAGAUACCCUGGUAGUCCAUGCUGUAAACGAUGAAUGCUAGUUGUCGGCAAAAGCCGGUGACGCAGUUAACGCGAUAAGCAUUCCGCCUGGGGAGUACGGUCGCAAGAUUAAAACUCAAAGGAAUUGACGGGGACCCGCACAAGCGGUGGAGCAUGUGGUUUAAUUCGAUGCAACGCGAAGAACCUUA
RNAcentral lists this ribosomal RNA (930 nucleotides) under wastewater metagenome. RNAcentral describes it as "bacterial SSU rRNA". It matches the Rfam family "Bacterial small subunit ribosomal RNA", at positions 8 to 973 of the family's 1533-position model. The record is from RNAcentral.